AGUGAACGCUGGCGGUAGGCCUAACACAUGCAAGUCGAACGGCAGCACAGUAAGAGCUUGCUCUUACGGGUGGCGAGUGGCGGACGAGUGAGGAAUACAUCGGAAUCUACUUUUUCGUGGGGGAUAACGUAGGGAAACUUACGCUAAUACCGCAUACGAUCUACGGGUGAAAGCAGGGGAUCUUCGGACCUUGCGCGAUUGAAUGAGCCGAUGUCGGAUUAGCUAGUUGGCGGGGUAAAGGCCCACCAAGGCGACGAUCCGUAGCUGGUCUGAGAGGAUGAUCAGCCACACUGGAACUGAGACACGGUCCAGACUCCUACGGGAGGCAGCAGUGGGGAAUAUUGGACAAUGGGCGCAAGCCUGAUCCAGCCAUACCGCGUGGGUGAAGAAGGCCUUCGGGUUGUAAAGCCCUUUUGUUGGGAAAGAAAAGCAGCAGGUUAAUACCCCGCUGUUCUGACGGUACCCAAAGAAUAAGCACCGGCUAACUUCGUG
RNAcentral lists this ribosomal RNA (492 nucleotides) under uncultured bacterium. RNAcentral's name for it is "partial 16S ribosomal RNA". It matches the Rfam family "Bacterial small subunit ribosomal RNA", at positions 29 to 507 of the family's 1533-position model. The record is from RNAcentral.